GCCCGAGUAGCUCAGGGGUAGAGCGCCUCCUUGGUAAGGAGGAGGUCAUGGGUUCAAAUCCCAUCUCGGGCU
RNAcentral lists this transfer RNA (72 nucleotides) under Acidobacteriota bacterium. RNAcentral describes it as "Acidobacteria bacterium (rhizosphere metagenome) tRNA-Thr". It matches the Rfam family "tRNA". From Rfam's summary of the family: Transfer RNA (tRNA) molecules are approximately 80 nucleotides in length. Their secondary structure includes four short double-helical elements and three loops (D, anti-codon, and T loops). Further hydrogen bonds mediate the characteristic L-shaped molecular structure. tRNAs have two regions of fundamental functional importance: the anti-codon, which is responsible for specific mRNA codon recognition, and the 3' end, to which the tRNAs corresponding amino acid is attached (by aminoacyl-tRNA synthetases). tRNAs cope with the degeneracy of the genetic code in two manners: having more than one tRNA (with a specific anti-codon) for a particular amino acid; and 'wobble' base-pairing, i.e. permitting non-standard base-pairing at the 3rd anti-codon position. RNAcentral also lists the same sequence under 2 other names. Lineage: Bacteria; Pseudomonadati; Acidobacteriota. The record is from RNAcentral.